Long non-coding RNA from Achroia grisella, 1651 nucleotides. RefSeq lists it as uncharacterized. The record is from RefSeq and is a predicted model, not a curated record. The transcript is spliced from 3 exons. Lineage: Eukaryota; Metazoa; Arthropoda; Insecta; Lepidoptera; Pyralidae.
CCGGCGCACACCGCCUUACAACCUUAGUGAAUAUACGUAUUUUGCAACCGUCUCUCAACCAUCGCAAGUCAUAAGUUCACGAUCGUAUUCGCUUCUAUAGUGGAAUACAAUGGAAGUGUGACAUUACCCUUAUUCGGUCGGGACCCGUAAAGAUAAGGAGGCCAUAAAACGUUUUAGCCAAUGUUGCAUAAUGUUCUUAGACCAUUCAAUCAAUGUGCCUCUACUACGGAUUUGUAACGGGCACAGAAUGUGACCAGAGAGUUAGUGAGUGACGUGAUGCAACUAGUAAUGCUGAACUUCUUAAUCAUGUUCGAUGUGGUGUUCAUAUUCUUUCUGUUUCUGAUUGCGGUGACGUGCGUCAUGAAUUACAUGCCAGGGAGGAAGCGGCAGGAGGUUAUAGAGGAGGAUGUAGACGAUGACGUCAUCCCUCCUCCCCCACUGUUUGCAGGUGACGAUGACGACCUACCACUGACCAGUCGAGAUACAUAUGUUGUUAUUCCACCGCCUCUGGACAACGUUAGAGCUAAGGACGGCUGUCCUAUACACGUGGUGUAGUAUAAGCACUGAUAUAUUAUAUCAACGUAGGAGUUUAUUACGAAGAAGCCUUAUGAGAAAGUAGGUGUCGAAAGUAAAAAUGUAGUCGUUUUUUACCAAGUAGUCAAAUAAAUUUUCUUGUUACGCAAAGACUUGCCUACUGGUGUAAUUUCGGGACUCAAGUGAAGGUACAUAUGGAUUAAGGUUGUACCGACUUGUACCACGGUUAUAGGCGCCACGAAAAUAUCAUGUUAUCUAUAUAUUUGGAAAAUUAUGUCAAAAUAAAUAUAACUUUGAUAAAUGGUUAUAGUAUAGAUAGAUCAAAUAAUUAAAGGAGAAAACAACCUGAUAGUUAAGUUUAUGGUGUUGAUUUGGCAAACGUAGGAGCCUAAUUAUAUUUUCCUUCUGUUUACGUUUAGCGCUGAACAAAUAUACUUGUCAUUUACGUAAUUCUCUGUUACGUAACCAAAUACUAUGUUUAUAUAAAGUGUUCAAAUUUCGCAGAACAAUUGCAAGUGCUUGUUUAAGAUGAAUGUGACUGAAUAAUAGAUAUAAUAGAUAAAUUUUAGAGUAUAAUUAGUUGUACGUUUGCUUGCUACAUUGUAUUAAGUUUUGGUGCUUGUAAGCACAAAUAGAUAUAAGCGAAUAUCUAAAUAAAUUUGUUGACGUAUCCCACUCACUAUACUAUAGACAAAUAGACGUAUUCGGAACAUUGCUUUGUUUACUAAUUUCUUAUUAAGAAAAUUAGGUCUUUAGUACAUUUGCUGUUUAGAAAUACCAAAAUCAUUGCUCUAAUUUAUUAUUAUGUAUGCACCGGCACAACUUUAGCUCAGCAAACAACUUCGCAUUUAAAUUUCGACAUUCAAUUGUAUAGUACAUAAAAUAGAUUAUACAAUAACAGGAUAAAUUAUAACCAACGGCUUGCGGCAAUCGCGGUUGCCAUUACCAUACUAUAGUAAAAUAUAUUAUAUUGCGCCCAACUUAAAGUCGAAAUUUAAAUGAUAAAUUGCUUGCGGUGUAGUUGUAAUGAGUAACGACCUUUCAUUUGAGACUGAACUGUGACAACACGGGUGACUUUUGUGUCGACAACAAUUCCUAUUUAUCCAUUUUUUCUAUU